This 484-nucleotide ribosomal RNA is filed under the name uncultured bacterium. RNAcentral describes it as "partial 16S ribosomal RNA". It matches the Rfam family "Bacterial small subunit ribosomal RNA", at positions 30 to 507 of the family's 1533-position model. The record is from RNAcentral.
AUUGAACGCUGGCGGCAGGCCUAACACAUGCAAGUCGAGCGGAUGAAGGGAGCUUGCUCCUGGAUUCAGCGGCGGACGGGUGAGUAAUGCCUAGGAAUCUGCCUGGUAGUGGGGGAUAACGUCCGGAAACGGGCGCUAAUACCGCAUACGUCCUGAGGGAGAAAGUGGGGGAUCUUCGGACCUCACGCUAUCAGAUGAGCCUAGGUCGGAUUAGCUAGUUGGUGGGGUAAAGGCCUACCAAGGCGACGAUCCGUAACUGGUCUGAGAGGAUGAUCAGUCACACUGGAACUGAGACACGGUCAAGACGCCUACAGGAGGCAGCAGUGGGGAAUAUUGGACAAUGGGCGAAAGCCUGAUCCAGCCAUGCCGCGUGUGUGAAGAAGGUCUUCGGAUUGUAAAGCACUUUAAGUUGGGAGGAAGGGCAGUAAGUUAAUACCUUGCUGUUUUGACGUUACCAACAGAAUAAGCACCGGCUAACUUCGUG